GCUCGUCUAGCUCAGUUGGUUAGAGCGUCGUGCUAAUAACGCGAAUGUCGCAGGUUCGAACCCUGCGAUGAGCA
RNAcentral lists this transfer RNA (74 nucleotides) under Chroomonas mesostigmatica CCMP1168. RNAcentral describes it as "tRNA-Ile". It matches the Rfam family "tRNA". From Rfam's summary of the family: Transfer RNA (tRNA) molecules are approximately 80 nucleotides in length. Lineage: Eukaryota; Cryptophyceae; Pyrenomonadales; Chroomonadaceae. The record is from RNAcentral.